RNAcentral lists this ribosomal RNA (296 nucleotides) under uncultured bacterium. Its description in RNAcentral is "partial 16S ribosomal RNA". It matches the Rfam family "Bacterial small subunit ribosomal RNA", at positions 333 to 646 of the family's 1533-position model. The record is from RNAcentral.
AUUUUCCUACGGGAGGCAGCAGUGGGGAAUAUUGCACAAUGGGGGAAACCCUGAUGCAGCAACGCCGCGUGAGUGAAGAAGUAUUUCGGUAUGUAAAGCUCUAUCAGCAGGGAAGAAGAUGACGGUACCUGAUUAAGAAGCCCCGGCUAACUACGUGCCAGCAGCCGCGGUAAUACGUAGGGGGCAAGCGUUAUCCGGAUUUACUGGGUGUAAAGGGAGCGCAGACGGCAGUGCAAGUCUGGAGUGAAAGGUCGGGGCCCAACCCCGGGACUGCCUUGGAAACUGUUGAACUGGAG